AUGAUGCCCAGCUUGCUGGGUGGAUUAGUGGCGAACGGGUGAGUAACACGUGAGUAACCUGCCCCUGACUCUGGGAUAAGCGUUGGAAACGACGUCUAAUACUGGAUAUGAUCACUGGCCGCAUGGUCUGGUGGUGGAAAGAUUUUUUGGUUGGGGAUGGACUCGCGGCCUAUCAGCUUGUUGGUGAGGUAAUGGCUCACCAAGGCGACGACGGGUAGCCGGCCUGAGAGGGUGACCGGCCACACUGGGACUGAGACACGGCCCAGACUCCUACGGGAGGCAGCAGUGGGGAAUAUUGCACAAUGGGCGAAAGCCUGAUGCAGCAACGCCGCGUGAGGGAUGACGGCCUUCGGGUUGUAAACCUCUUUUAGUAGGGAAGAAGCGAAAGUGACGGUACCUGCAGAAAAAGCACCGGCUAACUACGUGCCAGCAGCCGCGGUAAUACGUAGGGUGCAAGCGUUGUCCGGAAUUAUUGGGCGUAAAGAGCUCGUAGGCGGUUUGUCGCGUCUGCUGUGAAAUCCCGAGGCUCAACCUCGGGCUUGCAGUGGGUACGGGCAGACUAGAGUGCGGUAGGGGAGAUUGGAAUUCCUGGUGUAGCGGUGGAAUGCGCAGAUAUCAGGAGGAACACCGAUGGCGAAGGCAGAUCUCUGGGCCGUAACUGACGCUGAGGAGCGAAAGCAUGGGGAGCGAACAGGAUUAGAUACCCUGGUAGUCCAUGCCGUAAACGUUGGGCGCUAGAUGUAGGGACCUUUCCACGGUUUCUGUGUCGUAGCUAACGCAUUAAGCGCCCCGCCUGGGGAGUACGGCCGCAAGGCUAAAACUCAAAGGAAUUGACGGGGGCCCGCACAAGCGGCGGAGCAUGCGGAUUAAUUCGAUGCAACGCGAAGAACCUUACCAAGGCUUGACAUACACCGGAAACGGCCAGAGAUGGUCGCCCCCUUGUGGUCGGUGUACAGGUGGUGCAUGGUUGUCGUCAGCUCGUGUCGUGAGAUGUUGGGUUAAGUCCCGCAACGAGCGCAACCCUCGUUCUAUGUUGCCAGCGGGUUAUGCCGGGGACUCAUAGGAGACUGCCGGGGUCAACUCGGAGGAAGGUGGGGAUGACGUCAAAUCAUCAUGCCCCUUAUGUCUUGGGCUUCACGCAUGCUACAAUGGCCGGUACAAAGGGCUGCGAUACCGUAAGGUGGAGCGAAUCCCAAAAAGCCGGUCUCAGUUCGGAUUGAGGUCUGCAACUCGACCUCAUGAAGUCGGAGUCGCUAGUAAUCGCAGAUCAGCAACGCUGCGGUGAAUACGUUCCCGGGCCUUGUACACACCGCCCGUCAAGUCAUGAAAGUCGGUAACACCCGAAGCCGGUGGCCUAACCCUUGUGGA
This 1368-nucleotide ribosomal RNA is filed under the name Curtobacterium sp. MH43. RNAcentral's name for it is "bacterial SSU rRNA". It matches the Rfam family "Bacterial small subunit ribosomal RNA", at positions 69 to 1447 of the family's 1533-position model. The record is from RNAcentral. Lineage: Bacteria; Bacillati; Actinomycetota; Actinomycetes; Micrococcales; Microbacteriaceae.